UAGGUAGUAGCCAAUUGGUAAUGGCGUUUAGCUGUUAACUAGAAUUAUAUGGGAUCGAGGCCCAUCUGCCUAG
Molecule: transfer RNA, 73 nt
Filed under: Caloperdix oculeus
Lineage: Eukaryota; Metazoa; Chordata; Aves; Galliformes; Phasianidae
Description: tRNA-Asn
Rfam family: tRNA
About the family: Transfer RNA (tRNA) molecules are approximately 80 nucleotides in length. Their secondary structure includes four short double-helical elements and three loops (D, anti-codon, and T loops).
Source: RNAcentral